UUUUUUUUUUUUUUUUUUUGAGAUGGAGUCUUGCUCUUGUCACCAGGCUGGAGUGCAGUGUGGUGCCAUCUUGGCUCACUGCAAGCUCCACCUCCUGGUUCAAGCAUCAAUCCAAUUUUUCUAAAGCAAAUGUUAGCUUCCGGGGAGAAGAUGUGGCAGGACGAUUUCCAGGAGCACAUGGCCCUAGGCAUACUGUCCCUUUGAGAUGGCCUUAGUUUGGGCAGGGAUGCUGCAGGUGGUCAAAGAUGGACCUCCCAUCCAGUGGAGGCUGGCCCCUGGCUGUGUGGUGUGUGCAUCGCUGGGCCUGAGUGUGUGUGCAUGCGUGUGUGUGUGUGUGUGUGUGUGUGUUGUUGGGGUGGAAGUGGGAAGUCAGACCUGUGUGGCAAAAACCCGAGUCUAGUGGAAGGCCUCUCCUGCCCCUACCCACCCUCCUCCCUGGCAGAGGGGGCUGAACUGUGGCUGGAGGGAGCCACGCCAGGCUGGGAUCUCUGAGGGGUCCUUGAACCACAUCUGAGCUCUGGGAAGGCUCCCCGGUGCGUGGAGAGCAGAGAGGGAGGCUCCGUGGUGAUUUACAGGCACCUCCUUUUGAUCGUCUCGCUCCCUUGGAGAGAUCCCUCCUCCACACCUGGGGGCUGCAGGGGAGGCCGGGCGCAGGGGGUUUCCAGGUGGCCUGGGGCAGCAGGGUCUGGUGUCCCUGGGUUGCAGGAAGCUUCCUUCUCUCUGGCAUGGCCUUGCUGGUACCUGGCUGCUUGUGCCUAUCACUGAGCAACCCAGCUCCUGUCCAGCGGGGCGGGGUCCAGAGUGCACCCCUGCCCCCUCACAUCUGGCUCUGCUUCCAUUCUUCCAGGGUCGAUGCGACUGUUUCACUGGCCUCCUCUUCUGCCUAGACCCACGGGGUUUCUUCUUCCUGCCUCCCUGCCUGACAUUCCUGGACUCCACUCCAGGCGUGUGAAAGCCCUGGAUGGGUGUCCCAACAAUUUCAGUUUUUUCUUGGUCAAGAAGCCCAGCUUUCAGGCAGGAUCUAGGCACGGCCUGUGGGGUGGUCAGCAGUGGGCAGGUGCAGAUGCAAAGGAGGGCAGAGGUUGCUGAGGCUGUGGACAGCCUUGUGACAGGUUCUGAAAGAGCACUUGAGCUAGGAUGCCCAAGUGGGCCUUCGAGGGAGGCGGCCACUCUGGAGCAGGGCGGGGACAGCCCUCAGGACUCCCUCGGUCCUGACCAUCUUUGGGAGGAACUCCAGCAUGUCCAUGGGAGGGCAGGGGGCCACUGGCAGAGAGGUUCCUUGAGUAUCCCUAGCACUUAGAUAGCGCCUGGUGUAUGAGAGGCAAGCAAUACAUCAUAUUGCAUGCAGGACCAGGGUGCGUGCCCAGGUCCCAGACCCAAGAUGGAGAAGGUGUUUAGCAGAGAGAUUGUUCUGUGUCUGUGCAAAUUGAGGCUGAUACCAGCAAUCCCAGAACAUAUGUGUUGAGUACUUACCUGUACGUUCAGGUAAAUUACCUGCCCCAGCCCAGUCUCCUGUUCCCUCCCCGAACAUUCUCCCCUUACUUGUCCAGGGGCCUCGGCUCCAAGUGGAUGGGACUCCUCCAGCCUGGAGUCCCUUCUGUCACCUCUCCUCACAGCCCACACACUCCCCCAUAGCUCCCCA
This is a long non-coding RNA of Macaca fascicularis (crab-eating macaque), 1642 nucleotides long. Lineage: Eukaryota; Metazoa; Chordata; Mammalia; Primates; Cercopithecidae. The record is from Ensembl.